This 219-nucleotide non-coding RNA is filed under the name Thioclava pacifica. The record is from RNAcentral. Lineage: Bacteria; Pseudomonadati; Pseudomonadota; Alphaproteobacteria; Rhodobacterales; Paracoccaceae.
UUACCUGAAACCCUGUUUGGUGCCCGCAGAUGCGCAAAGCGCAGGGCUCAAUCGGGAACGGGGAAGGGUGGACCAAGUUGCGGCACCCGAAGCCCCGGCCGCCCCCGCGACUGUAUGCGGUGAGCGCGCUCCGACAAGACCACUGGGGGUUGCCCCCGGGAAGGUGGAGUGGCGCUUCGACCCGCGAGCCAGGAGACCGGCCAGCAGCCACAUCAACCG